ACUGCUUGAGGUAUAAGACGGUCCUGUCGACGCAUGUUUGAUAAGCAGGAUUCAGAGUUGGAGGUACAACGGUGGUGGAGAUCGUCAUCGGCGGCAUAGGAAAGGAUUCAUCUGGAUAUUUGAGAAGAUCAUAGCCAUCAAGAAGAGCUUCAACUAAUUUAAGGGCAGAAGCUUGGUGACACUGCUAAGGGUGAUGCAAGUGAAUGGUUUUGAUGGCUUAUGAGGGUUGCUUAAUAGAUGAAGAGUUGUCCUUGGCCAUGAGAAGCAAAAAGAAAAGGAAGGAUCGACGUCCUGUGUUGAAGAAGAUUAAAAAUAAAACAAAACAUCCAUGAACAAGUAAAAGAUAAAAGACAUCAUAUGAAAAAGAGACUUUUAGGGGGGCGCCGGUGGCGGCGGCCAUAGGCCACCGGCGAGAACAAAGACAGAGUAGAAAAGGAUCAGAAAACCUGCUCUGAUACCAUAUAGAAAAGUAUUUUGGAUGAAUUUCUUAUUUGAUCAUUGGAUUACAAUAGUAUAAAUAUACAAAUUGAUAACCUAAUUGGAAAAAGUUAAAAGUAAAUAAAAUCCACCAAUUUAAUAUCAAUUAUUAUAAUAUCAAUUAUAAUAAUUGAUAUUUAACACUAAUAAUUAAAUUAAAUAAAAGGAAAGUAAAUAUACAAGAAUUAGCUAAUAAAGACUAAUUAUUCCAAUUUAAAACUAAUUAUUAUAAUUGAUAGCACGAAGUGGGCAGUUAGCGUCGAUCUUCAAUUUCAAAGUCAGUGAGCAAUUUUGUGAUAGAGUGUUGUGCAAUGAUUUGUACCACUGAGCAUCAAACAAUGCAGUGUUUUUGUUUGCUGCGAAAUCCUGUAUGCAUUAAUGUAU
RNAcentral lists this long non-coding RNA (861 nucleotides) under Vigna radiata. RNAcentral's name for it is "long non-coding RNA (VRAD_LNC008916)". The record is from RNAcentral. Lineage: Eukaryota; Viridiplantae; Streptophyta; Magnoliopsida; Fabales; Fabaceae.